Molecule: long non-coding RNA, 1910 nt
Organism: Numida meleagris (helmeted guineafowl)
Lineage: Eukaryota; Metazoa; Chordata; Aves; Galliformes; Numididae
Source: Ensembl
UAGGAGAAGGCUAUACAGAACUUUAAUUCUGCUUAUUCAGUAAUAAUUUAUUUUGCAAACUCCGAUCAUUAGGAUUAUUAUUAAUUACCAUGCUGUUCAGCUGCACUGACACAGAAAAAUCUUUCUGAUAUAAUUGAGCACAUUAAAAAUAUUGGAUUAAAGUAUUGGCUCUGCCAGAUUUUAAAUAGGGCAAGAUAACGUGGCUAAUCAAAAUCUGAGCGCACACACAGGGUGAUCAUUCACCUACCUCCAUCACACAUUGCCCAAACGCUUUGUGUCGUGGACGUGGGUUGCCCUGAGGAGGCCAGCUGGAGAAAUAAAGGCUUCUUCCGUGGUAAUUCUGGCCUCAGCACUCCGCAGAGCAGCGCUGAGGCGGUGCCUUGGCCCGGUGCACUUCAGCGCAGCCCAGUGCUGCCCUCACCUCAGGCGGGGCCUGCUGCUGCCUCAGAGCAGCGCGCUACCUUCAUCCCAUCACCAAAACGCUGUCAGGUGGCAGAGAUGGCAAAAGCACUGUCUCCUGAGGCUGGUAGAAGCUCUUAAGAUGAGAGAAAUGUUCUGCAGGUGCCAGAGCUCCAUGAUUUCUAUCAAAAAGCUUGUACAGCAGAAAGGCUCUGCACUACACCGCAUGCUGCAUUUCUUUGAACUUUCUGAAACUAUACAGAGGUUUUGAUUUGUCUUGGAGACGCAGAGUGGCCAUUGAGAUCUUCACAGGACAGUUUUCUUUUAAGAACUGGAAAGUGAAACAGAAAAAAAACUUCAGAGAACCCUAUUGACCUUUUGGGGGGGAUAAUACUUUUUUGUCAUUUUUUUAAUGCUGCUUAUCCUUAGCAGCACCCUGCACUGUCUGAGCUGUGGAAUCAAAGGGAGCAGCUAAUAGGUGCUGGCUUGUGUGGCUUCAGCUGAGCACCACACUGCUCAAGCUGUGCACCCACUGAGUGCAGGAUGCAUGCGAGUACCUGUCAUUUAGGGUUACCGUUACCUUCACGUUUGGAGGAAGAGAAUACGAAGGCUGAAACAUUUCUGUCAUGUUCUUGAUGUUUGGUACCAAAACACAGCUCAGCCACAACAAAACCAUUCUGGUAAUGAAUAAUGCCUACUGUGCAAUAGAAGGAAAAUGUGUUUAUUUUAGAGGCUGUAAAGUUAUUCUGUUUGGUUAGUAUGAGACACCCCAAAUUCUCAGUAAAUUUUUUUCAUUUGUUCUGACUCUCAAGUUCUAGCUUUGGUACUAAAGAAAGCAGGCAGCCUUCUUUCACUUUGGCAAUUGGGAUAUAUACUGUGGAAAACAGCUCUUCUGAUACAGAAGGUAAUGAAAAGUCUCCCAACACCAAAACAAGAGUGUGUUACUAGAAACAAUGACAGCUUGUCAGACUGAAAAGUAAGAUAACUUUCAGAGAUGUGAAAGAACAAAUACCAUGUGAAUUGAAAUAUGUAUGACUUGACUAGAAGGACUUGACUUAGUGCUAGAAAUAUAGUAGCUUGGUUUUUGGUUUUGCUGCUUUUUUCCUCAACAGGAAUUUUCUGAGAAGUUUAAGCAAAAGUAUGAAUCAGCUGACAGAUGACCAUAGGUUUGAUUCUUUUACAGAAAGCCCUUCUCAAUACUUCUGACACUGGAGAACAGUUUGAAACUCUGAUAGAACAGGAUGGGUCCCAUUAACUGUGCAUCUUUGCUGGAGGAGUCUCUUGCAGUUAUGGGUUGUUGUUUUUUUGUCUGUUUUGUUUUGUCUUUAAGUCGGGGCAAAGGCAACUUUAAAGCCACCGUUUACUUGAACCUUGAAGCUCACAAAGCAAGAAUUGGCCUUUGUCCAGUUACCUAUCUAGCUGUGAGCAAGGCAUGAAGCUCACAAGCCCAUCCAAGCCUCCUUCCAAAAGUCCUGCGAUAAUAAUAAAAGAUAUCAUCGGAUAUUAUCUCA